UAAUGUUCCCACAUCAUCAUUCACUUAUUAGGUACCCAUUUUGUAAAAAUAUAGCACCAAUCUAGAAAUGAAAACUUGAAACCAAUCUCUUUCUUUAUUCUCGGUGAGAUAUGAAACCUGAAUCCAUACUUUGGUGCAUUUUUAGGACAUUGAGUGAACAUUCAGAGGCGUGUUAAGGACUGCAAAGUAUUUGAAGGGUAAGAUAAGUGGAGGAAGCUUUUGGGAUUGAAAAAGGAAAGCACCACAAAAGGAGAAGGGUUUCAUGGAAGCCUGA
This 274-nucleotide small RNA is filed under the name Vigna angularis var. angularis. RNAcentral describes it as "Non-protein coding transcript". Lineage: Eukaryota; Viridiplantae; Streptophyta; Magnoliopsida; Fabales; Fabaceae. The record is from RNAcentral.